Mytilus californianus (California mussel) is the source of this 1672-nucleotide long non-coding RNA. RefSeq lists it as uncharacterized. The transcript has 6 exons. NCBI's taxonomy places the organism in Eukaryota, Metazoa, Mollusca, Bivalvia, Mytilida, Mytilidae. The record is from RefSeq and is a predicted model, not a curated record.
AGUGAAUAUUUCAGAAAAAUUACCUGACACGCCUACAGAUGAGAAAUUUGUUCAAACAGAUGACAUACACGACGAAAUUGAACCGACAUCAAUAAGCUGUGAGUUCCCCCAUGAAGCGCUAAAUGAACCGAGUUUAGAUGAUAUAGAAAUACCAGCUGUACAACAAUCUGUCGAAAUUAUAUAUACACAUGAACAAGUAAGAGAUGCCCUGACUCUUCUGAGGCAAAGAAAACCAGAUGAUAUGGAAAUACAAGCUGUAAAACAAUCUCUAGAAAUGGGAUAUACAAAGGAACAAGUAAGAGAUGCCUUAACUCUUCUGAGACAAAGAAAACCGGACCAUCAUUACUUUAGUCUUAAUGAAAUACUGAAUGCUUUAACAAAAAGGACAACAAGAAAAGCUGUGCCACAGAAUGAUUCAGGUGAAAACAAUUGGGUAACUGUUGAAAAGGAUGAUUCUGGAGAAUGGCAUGAACAGGAACGAAGCAAACACAAACAAAACAAAAAUAAAUGUAAAAUGUCUUGAUAAAUGUUUAGUUAAUAACAUUUUGAUCGAAGGACUUCAAUGCCAAUACCAAGGAGGAUGCAAGCAACGUCUUAUUACGAAUAAAUGUAAAUUCACUAAAAUUCUUAUUUUUGUGAAACCAUACCUUUUCUGAACUCAUGAGUAUGGACAGACUUCCUUUUAAAACACAAAACAGUUUUAAAGUGUGAUAACACACUUAUCUCCCUUUGAUUAUUAUUGUCUGCAAGUGAAGUGUCUAUCUUAAAUAUGUUAUGUACAAUUUUUCAUCAUCAUAAAAGGUAAUGCGCCUACGCGUGCUUAUAUGCAGAUACCUGUAAGAAAGACAAAUAAUAAUAUAAAUACAGGACUAUAAUUAUGCAGAUGCAUCUUUGUGAGACGGACCAUAUGCAAUAAAAUGUAGGUAACAUGCCUAUAUUUUAUGGACCGGGAGUUGAUUCUGUUUUUGAAAUUCAUCACUAAUAAUAACAUGAAUAAGUUGUGAGUCCAUGUUCAGAUUUCAGAAAGUAGGCGAGUUCUAACACAUAAAUCGGUAUAAAGAAGCUUCUAGAGGGGUGUAGUACAAUACAAUAAAGAGUAGGUCAACCUGACUCCAAGAUUUAUUAAGGGUCUUUGGAAAUCUGUAAUCAUAGAUUUAAACUGUUUUUUUAAUUGGCAUUUAUUGUAAUAAGGAAUUGGUAUAUUCUCAAUAAUUGUGUUAUUAGGCCUUAUUGAGAUAAUUUUAUUAUCAAAUUUUAAUUAUUUGAAAAUAUGGAGUAUAAGAAUCUUCAGAUACAUUUGUGACUUAAUUAUCAGCAAAUAAAAUAUGAAUAUUGUAUUUCAUUGAAUAAUAGUGUGAGAGUAAUCAGACUAAAGAAACAUAUAUUACGUUCUCUAUUUGUUGUCAUUGUUUUAUAAAUGAUAAGUAAUGGUCAUUGCAAUAAAUCGACGGUUUGGUAGUUAAAUGAAAUCCGUUGUAGAUUUCACUUUAAUUUGUAAAUUUCAUCAUAUAUACUGGUUAUUAUAAAUAUCAUAAUAAACCAAACUUAUUAAAUCAGCGAGUAACAUCAACUAGAAUGCAGAUACAGUUUCCCUUUAAGAUCUUCCUAUAGAUUGAAAAUGUAAUUAUUAUGAUAGUUUGUAAGAUUAAAACAAAAUCCAAAAUCGUAAAAG